RNAcentral lists this small RNA (776 nucleotides) under Cryptococcus neoformans H99. RNAcentral describes it as "Cryptococcus neoformans var. grubii H99 hypothetical RNA". Lineage: Eukaryota; Fungi; Basidiomycota; Tremellomycetes; Tremellales; Cryptococcaceae. The record is from RNAcentral.
AGGGAGUGUGGCGAGGCUGUGGGAUGCCGGUUUUUGAGUAGAUUUUAAGGAAGGGGCCUUCUAGUCUUUGUUGUUUUGUUGUUCUCCUAAAAGUAUAUCGAUAUAACGGAGCAUCCAACUUUCAACAUCUGCAAGGAACCAUCUCGACGAUUGAUGUUCCGACUGAUUGGCAUCUGCUGAUCCGAACGAAACUUCUUACGACGCUAAAGGUUCUGAUCCUACUUGAUCGAGUUAGUCAAGGUCCGCAAGGAUGAAAGACGAUCUCUAUUACAAUCGAUACAUCAUCAAGAUCGCGUCAUGAACAUAUAUAAACUAUACAACAUCCCUGCCCCCAUCCCCUUAUUACUUGCCCGCCAAUCUAGCCACUUCGUCUGCUUCUCCCCUUCUCCUUGCCGCCUUGAACAUGUUUGCUUGACCUCCCUGGGACGAGGCAGCCUUGCUCAGUUUGGCCAGGAUCAUAGCCAGGCUGAGAGGUUUGACAGAGGGAUAGGACAUGGAACGAAUUGAAGGUUCCAUAUACGCCUGAACGGCAUCGGAAAGGAUGAUGUUAAUGGUCUGAAUGAAAUUGAAUCAGUCUUUGGGAAAAGGAUUAAGCUACAGAGGCAUAUAAAAAUGACACACAUGUUUUACUUCGUCAAAGACGUGAUCAAGCUCGGCUUUACCCAGUCGUUUGAUCUCAGUCUCGAUGAACGACACGUCGGCCAGUACACUCGCCAAUGCGCUUUCGUUCAAUUUGACAAUCUCUUGGCCCGUUAAUGUAUCCUAUCUUCUGUUAG